This 324-nucleotide ribosomal RNA is filed under the name uncultured Sandona. Its description in RNAcentral is "SSU rRNA". The stretch from base 111 to 324 matches the Rfam family "Eukaryotic small subunit ribosomal RNA", at positions 741 to 955 of the family's 1831-position model. The record is from RNAcentral. Lineage: Eukaryota; Cercozoa; Glissomonadida.
GCAACCUGGCCCGCCGAGGUUCGCCUUUGUGUGUGUGCCGGGUUGUGUCUACCAUCCUUCUAAGUUACCUUUGGCAAUUCUUUGAUUGGAGUUGUUUCCAUUGUGUUUUGACUUAGAUCUUUGACUUUGAACAAAUUAGAGUGUUUCAAGCAGGCUUUAUGCUAUGAAUACAUUAGCAUGGAAUAAUAAUUUAGGACUUCGGUUCUAUUUUGUUGGUUUCUAGGACUGAAGUAAUGAUUGAUAGGGAUAGUUGGGGGUGCUAGUAUUCAGCGGCCAGAGGUGAAAUUCUCGGAUUCGCUGAAGACUAACUUAUGCGAAAGCAUU